This is a long non-coding RNA of Canis lupus familiaris (dog), 690 nucleotides long. RefSeq lists it as uncharacterized. The transcript is spliced from 3 exons. Lineage: Eukaryota; Metazoa; Chordata; Mammalia; Carnivora; Canidae. The record is from RefSeq and is a predicted model, not a curated record.
AGUGGGCGCGAGGAAGAAGAGAUGACAUUAGGAGUUUCAGGCGCCAACUCAGAGCAAAACAGCGCAGGUGCUGCUGUCAUGCCAACCUGAAUCAUAACCGUGGUGACUGGGGAGAGGUCACAAUCCUUCCCAAAGCCCAGCUUCCUUAGCUACAAAAUGAGCAGAAGAAUACUUACAUGAUCGAUCAGGAUUAAAGGAGAUCAUGCCAUGUAAAACAACGAGCACGGAGCUCAGUACGUAAGUGCUCAACUAAUGGUUGCUUCUCUCGUUGCUGUUAUUAAUUCACCACAUCCACUAACGAACGUGGCUGAUGCCACUGCUGUGUUUGUCCUCUGGGUUACGUCAUGACGACACAGGAUCACAGGGUCACAGACGGAACACGACACACACUGUCUGACCCAGCACCCGUGGCCUCCUGUACACACUCUAGCCAAAACCCGCAGGAAGAGCGAGGUUCGCCAUCAAAAUCAUACAAAAGAAGUUUAAGAGACUUUCCACGGCACCUGUGAUUUGUGUUCAGGGAAUUCAAGGGCUCUCAGACUAACGGAUGGAAGAAGACUGGAAAUAGAGCACAUCUUGAUUUUAAGACCCCUAACCUAGCAACAUCCUUAUGAAUGAGGCCAAUUUGGAGCAGAUUUUAUUUAUUUAUUCAUGAGAGACACAGAGAGAGAGGCAGAGACACAGGCAGAG